UGGAGGAAAGCAGGGGAUCGUAAGACCUUGCGCUUUUGGAGUGGCCGAUGCCUGAUUAGCUAGUUGGUGGGGUAAGAGCCUACCAAGGCGACGAUCAGUAGUUGGUCUGAGAGGACGACCAGCCACACUGGGACUGAGACACGGCCCAGACUCCUACGGGAGGCAGCAGUGGGGAAUUUUGGACAAUGGGCGGAAGCCUGAUCCAGCAAUGCCGCGUGAGUGAAGAAGGCCUUCGGGUUGUAAAGCUCUUUCAGUCGAGAAGAAAAGGUUGUGACUAAUAAUCGCAACUUAUGACGGUAUCGACAGAAGAAGCACCGGCUAACUACGUGCCAGCAGCCGCGGUAAUACGUAGGGUGCGAGCGUUAAUCGGAAUUACUGGGCGUAAAGGGUGCGCAGGCGGCUCUGUAAGUCAGAUGUGA
RNAcentral lists this ribosomal RNA (419 nucleotides) under uncultured ammonia-oxidizing beta proteobacterium. RNAcentral's name for it is "bacterial SSU rRNA". It matches the Rfam family "Bacterial small subunit ribosomal RNA", at positions 197 to 597 of the family's 1533-position model. Lineage: Bacteria; Pseudomonadati; Pseudomonadota; Betaproteobacteria. The record is from RNAcentral.